RNAcentral lists this ribosomal RNA (2364 nucleotides) under Triticum aestivum (bread wheat). Its description in RNAcentral is "partial small subunit ribosomal RNA". Lineage: Eukaryota; Viridiplantae; Streptophyta; Magnoliopsida; Poales; Poaceae. The record is from RNAcentral.
AUGGAGAUGGUAGGGGACUACGGCAAGUUCGUGGGGCAGCAAUCUGAAGGUCAUUCUCGCGGCCCUGAGAUCCAGAGUAAGGUUCCAGAUCCUCUUUCUCGUCAUUUUCGUAGGAAGAAUGAGGACAAAGGCGAGGUUCCAGUUAUCCCUACGUUCGAAGAUGAGAGCUUGGAGGGGUCGAUGCAACUGGAGAGACAGGAGAAAAUGCUUUGGACUAUACCCGUCAGCGCUCCACCUGAUGAACAACUUGCUUUGUUGAAUGCCAUUGAAGAAAACAGACAGGAACAAAACACGGUCAGGUCUGCUGCGUUGCCAGCCAUAAUUCCUGAAGUGGUGAAAGACUAUGAUGCUGAUGCUAGUAGUAAUGAGGAUAAGGAUAAGGAAUGGUUGGAGGACAGAGGCAAACCCCUCUUGUGGGAUCCGGGCAUGGUUCUGGAGACUGAUGAUAAGGAGACCCAGCAGCUGCUCAAGGAUAGGGCUAACAAGUCGGACAUAUUGGAUGGUGGUGGUCAUGAGACAAAGGAUGAGAUGGAUGGUGGCAAAUUUCCUGUCUCGGAGGAACAGGUCACGGUUCUGGGGACCCAGGAGAUACCAUGCUCUCUACUUCUUUUGGAGAUCGAAUCCUAUAUGCAGGUGCUUAACGAACUGAAGGAUGCACGCAGAUGCUUCUACGGUGAAGAGCUUGAUAACUCCAAACAGCUGCGGAUCAAAGGGGUGGCGGGUACCAAAGAGGUGGCAGCUUUGCAUACCAGGCUAAGUGAAGCAAAACGUAAAAUGGACCUUCUUCUGCGGGGGGACACAGAAGCUGCCAGCCGGGUACUCAAAUGUGCUCGGGCGCAUGAGGUAGAGCGAAAGCAGUUGACUGGGGUUGGGAUGGAAGACAGUUUUUUGGAGAAGCAGGUGAUUGGUCCAUUGCCUUGUGAGGCUGGGAUGGGAGGGGAAUCCGGCAAGCAGCAGCAGUCUCAAUUUCUUCCUUGCCGCCCUGGGAUCCAGAGUAGUGAUCCACACAUGAUCGAAUGGACCAAAUCCAACGUCAAAGCUACAGAUCUCACUCCCACCAUCACCAAAAGUGAAAAUGGCGACAAUGGUGAUGUUGAUGUUGAUGAUCGGCUUGCUACCACAUUCGAUCAGCAUAUGAUCGAGCGGACCAAAUCCGAUGUCGAAGCAGCAGAUCUCAUUCCCACCAUCACCAAAAGUGACAGCAGCAACGAUGUUGAUGUUGAUGAGCGGCUCGCUACCACAUUCAGAUCAGACAAGCUGUUACUUGGAGCUGCAGAUCUCACUCCCACCAUCACUAAAAGUGACAGCUGCAACGAUAUUGAUGUUGAUGAGCGGCUCGCUACCACAUUCAAACAAGACAAGCUGUUACUUGAAGCUGCAGAUCCUGUUCCCACCGACACAGCUUAUGGUAAUGUUGAUAAGAUGGACAGCGGCAAAUCAAUCGAGCAGUUAGACAUGGAGGCCAUGGAGAUGGCCAGCGAGGAGAAUGAUUUCGCCCUGUACGCUGAGGCCCGGAACAAGGAAUGGGCUCACCAUGGUUACUUCGGAGACACGACGAUGUUGAGUUCCAUGCAGUUUGCACACUUGCAACCUGGUACCACCAAGUCAUACGGUGUUGGAUUCCCGCCCACCCUGCAGAUCAUUUCAGUCAAACUCGCGGAUAUAAAAGGUGGAUUGGAAUGGCCAUUGCCCGUGUACGGCGUGGUUGCUGUCCGGGACACCAUGGAUCACAAUCGUAACCUUCUGUUUGCUUGUGACCGGAACAAGUGCCAGAUAGUCGAGAAAGAUCAUCCUUACUUGUGCUUGACCGGCCCCUCUCGUGCAAUUGUGUUUGAAGAUGGUGUUAUCCUUGAAAUCAAACUGAAACUAAGAGGCAGCACAGUGUCUCAAGAUAGAGCAUUGAUCACUUGUAUGCGAAAUUACCAUGCAGGAAAGGGUACCAUCAGCUUUACAAACUGCUUCUGUACAGCUGAGUUAAGUUUGGAGGUGAUUCAGGAAACAGUCCAGGCCACGAUCUUGGGUAUCCGUGUCAAAGGGGGAUCAUGGCCUUCCAAAUAUGGAGGUAGAGUUGUUUGCUUCGCACCAGUCGAGGUCAUUGAUGGUCAAGACAUUUCCAGUCCUGAGGAAGUGGUGCUGCUUGAUUCCCGUCGUGGAGCAAUGCCUAGGGCUUCAGAUGGUUACCUUCGUCUCUCAAGGCAUGUUGUUUCUGUAGAAAUUCGAGGCAGCCUGGAAGUCGUCUUGCAGAGUUACUGUGCAUCUGGUGAUAUCGUUUCAGAAACUAAUGUAAGCUUGGGGAAGUCGUCUUUGCACCCGAUUAUUUCAAUGCAUGUCAGAAGAAAUGUAAGCUUGGGGACGCUGAGGUAG